AGGUGAAAAGCACCCCGGGAGGGGAGUGAAACAGUACCUGAAACCGUGCGCCCACGAGCAGUCGGAGCAACUUUAUGUUGUGACGGCGUGCCUUUUGUAGAAUGAGCCAGCGAGUCGCUGGCGCGGGGCGAGGUUAACCGAAAGGGAGCCGGAGCGAAAGCGAGCCUUAACAGGGCGACUUGAGUCCCGCGCCGCGGACGCGAAGCCGGGUGAGCUAUCCGUGGGCAGGCUGAAGCGGGGGUAAGACCCCGUGGAGGGCCGAACGCACGUCGGUUGAAAACGGCGGCGAUGACCUGCGGAUAGGGGUGAAAGGCCAAUCAAACCCGGAGAUAUCUCGUUCUCCCCGAAAUAGCUUUAGGGCUAGCGUCGCGCGUUCACCGCCGGAGGUAGAGCACCGGAUGGACGAGGGGGCUUCGCCGCCUACCGAAUCCAACCGAACUCCGAAUGCCGGCGGCCCAGAGCGCGGCAGUCAGAGCAUGUGGGCUAAGCUGUGUGCUCGAGAGGGAAACAGCCCGGACCGCCCGCUAAGGUCCCCAAGUUCCAGCCGAGUGGCAAAGGAUGUGCGUCCGCCCAGACAACCAGGAUGUUGGCUUAGAAGCAGCCAUCCAUUCAAAGAGUGCGUAACAGCUCACUGGUCGAGUGGACAUGCGCCGACAAUACACGGGGCUAAGCUGGACACCGAAGCGGCGGGAUUUUAAUUCAUUAGAAUCGGUAGGGGAGCUUCCCAUGGGCGGAGAAGCCGGAGGGCGACCGACGGUGGAGCGCAUGGGAGUGAGAAUGCUGGCAUGAGUAGCGAGAGACGAGAGAGUAACUCGUCCGCCGUGAACCCGAGGUUUCCUGGGCAAGGCUAAUCCUCCCAGGGUCAGUCGGGGGCUAAGGCGAGGCCGGGAGGCGUAGCCGACGCGCAGCAGGCAGACAUUCCUGCACCGCGCACGCGGCGCUACGACCGACGGGGCGACGGAUGGGGGUGGCUCGGCGGGGUUCUGGACGUCCCCGUGAUGGAGCGCGGCCCGCGGACCAGGGAAAUCCGGUCCGCACACAGGGCGAGGCUCCGGACGAAGCGACUGAGCGAAGCGAGUGAGCCCGAGGUCCCUAGAAAAACCCCUAGGCAGGCGCGUGCGCGCCCGUACCGCAAACCGACACAGGUGGGUGGGUAGAACAUACCGAGGCGAUCGGGUCAACCAUGGUCAAGGAACUCGGCACAAUGGCCCCGUAACUUCGGGAGAAGGGGUGCCCGCGCGUACGUGAACCGGCUUGCCCGGGGAGCGGAGGCGGGCCGCAGUGGAGAGGCCCAAGCGACUGUUUACCAAAAACACAGGACUCUGCAGAAGCCGCAAGGCGACGUAUAGGGUCUGACGCCUGCCCGGUGCCGGAAGGUCACGCGGAGGAGUUAGCCGAUUCGGCGAAGCCCCGAAGCCAAGCCCCGGUAAACGGCGGCCGUAACUAUAACGGUCCUAAGGUAGCGAAAUUCCUUGUCGGGUAAGUUCCGACCUGCACGAAAGGCGCAACGACUUGGGCGCUGUCUCGACCAUGGACCCGGUGAAAUUGCACUGGUCGUGAAGAUGCGACUUACCCGCGGAAGGACGGAAAGACCCCGUGAACCUUCACUGCAGCUUGGCAUUGGCCGCUGGUCCCGCGUGUAGAGGAUAGGCAGGAGGCACAGAUCCGGAGGCGCCAGCCCCCGGGGAGCCGCCCUUGGAAUACUGCCCUCGCGCGACCGGCGUCCUAACCCGAGGCCGUCAUCCGGCUCGGGGACCGUGCCAGGCGGGCAGUUUGACUGGGGCGGUCGCCUCCUAAAGGGUAACGGAGGCGCGCGAAGGUCCGCUCGGGACGGUCGGCAACCGUCCUUUUGAAUGCAAGAGUACAAGCGGGCUUGACUGCGAGGCCCACAAGCCGAGCAGGUGCGAAAGCAGGCUCUAGUGAUCCGGCGGCCCCGAGUGGGUGGGCCGUCGCUCAACGGAUAAAAGGUACUCCGGGGAUAACAGGCUGAUCUUGCCCA
This 1999-nucleotide ribosomal RNA is filed under the name human gut metagenome. RNAcentral's name for it is "bacterial LSU rRNA". It matches the Rfam family "Bacterial large subunit ribosomal RNA", at positions 512 to 2494 of the family's 2925-position model. The record is from RNAcentral.